UGGCGGACGGGUGAGUAAUGUCUGGGAAACUGCCUGAUGGAGGGGGAUAACUACUGGAAACGGUAGCUAAUACCGCAUAACGUCGCAAGACCAAAGAGGGGGACCUUAGGGCCUCUUGCCAUCGGAUGUGCCCAGAUGGGAUUAGCUUGUUGGUGGGGUAACGGCUCACCAAGGCGACGACCCCUAGCUGGUCUGAGAGGAUGACCAGCCACACUGGAACUGAGACACGGUCCAG
This 235-nucleotide ribosomal RNA is filed under the name uncultured bacterium. RNAcentral's name for it is "partial 16S ribosomal RNA". It matches the Rfam family "Bacterial small subunit ribosomal RNA", at positions 96 to 334 of the family's 1533-position model. The record is from RNAcentral.